This 220-nucleotide unclassified non-coding RNA is filed under the name Hevea brasiliensis (rubber tree). The record is from RNAcentral. Lineage: Eukaryota; Viridiplantae; Streptophyta; Magnoliopsida; Malpighiales; Euphorbiaceae.
GAUUAGACAGGAAGGCUCGCUUGAAUGAACAGUAGCAAGGGGCGCUUUCUUUAAAGAAUCUUUCCCCGCCCGAAAGCUUACAAAAAGAAAGAGUUCCGCUUGUUCUAGGUUCAAGCUCAAGUGCAAGAUCCACUGGCUAGUUACUUCUCCACUUAACUCCGCCAUCAGACUAGUGAUAUUUUCACUAAGCCUCCUCUCCUAUCCGUCGCUAUCGGUUAGU